RNAcentral lists this ribosomal RNA (374 nucleotides) under uncultured bacterium. RNAcentral describes it as "bacterial SSU rRNA". It matches the Rfam family "Bacterial small subunit ribosomal RNA", at positions 524 to 898 of the family's 1533-position model. The record is from RNAcentral.
UACGUAGGGGGCGAGCGUUGUCCGGAAUUACUGGGCGUAAAGGGUGCGCAGGCGGCGCUUUAAGUCAGAUGUGAAAUACCCGGGCUUAACCCGGGGGGUGCAUUUGAAACUGGAGUGCUUGAGUGCAGGAGAGGAAAGUGGAAUUCCUAGUGUAGCGGUGAAAUGCGUAGAUAUUAGGAGGAACACCAGUGGCGAAGGCGACUUUCUGGACUGUAACUGACGCUGAGGCACGAAAGCGUGGGGAGCAAACAGGAUUAGAUACCCUGGUAGUCCACGCCGUAAACGAUGGAUACUAGGUGUAGGGGGCGAUAGCCCUCUGUGCCGCAGCUAACGCAAUAAGUAUCCCGCCUGGGGAGUACGAUCGCAAGGUUGAA